This 76-nucleotide transfer RNA is filed under the name Synergistales bacterium. RNAcentral's name for it is "tRNA-Arg". It matches the Rfam family "tRNA". From Rfam's summary of the family: Transfer RNA (tRNA) molecules are approximately 80 nucleotides in length. Their secondary structure includes four short double-helical elements and three loops (D, anti-codon, and T loops). Further hydrogen bonds mediate the characteristic L-shaped molecular structure. tRNAs have two regions of fundamental functional importance: the anti-codon, which is responsible for specific mRNA codon recognition, and the 3' end, to which the tRNAs corresponding amino acid is attached (by aminoacyl-tRNA synthetases). tRNAs cope with the degeneracy of the genetic code in two manners: having more than one tRNA (with a specific anti-codon) for a particular amino acid; and 'wobble' base-pairing, i.e. permitting non-standard base-pairing at the 3rd anti-codon position. The record is from RNAcentral. Lineage: Bacteria; Thermotogati; Synergistota; Synergistia; Synergistales.
GCGCCUGUAGCUCAGCGGAUAGAGUGACGGCCUCCGGAGCCGUAGGUCGCGAGUUCAAAUCUCACCAGGCGCACCA